UACGAAGGGGGCUAGCGUUGCUCGGAAUCACUGGGCGUAAAGGGUGCGUAGGCGGGUUUUUAAGUCAGGGGUGAAAUCCUGGAGCUCAACUCCAGAACUGCCUUUGAUACUGAAGAUCUUGAGUCCGGGAGAGGUGAGUGGAACUGCGAGUGUAGAGGUGAAAUUCGUAGAUAUUCGCAAGAACACCAGUGGCGAAGGCGGCUUACUGGUCCGGUACUGACGCUGAGGUGCGAAAGCGUGGGGAGCAAACAGG
This 253-nucleotide ribosomal RNA is filed under the name uncultured bacterium. Its description in RNAcentral is "partial 16S ribosomal RNA". It matches the Rfam family "Bacterial small subunit ribosomal RNA", at positions 524 to 776 of the family's 1533-position model. The record is from RNAcentral.